CUUAAUUUUUCUCCACGUGAUUCUGGGGUGUUUGAUUCCGCGUAAAAUAAACAGAAAAAUACUCUUUUAUUUUUUUUGGUUUGACGUAAAAGUAUUUUUACAGAUUUGAAAAAAAAUUGAAGUGUUCAUUUUUUGCUGUUUUUGGGCAAAAAGCUAAAACUUGAGCUGCGUAAAAAUUUUUUCAAUCGUUUCUUUUCACCGAACCAAACAAAUAUGAAUAUUUUUCUUUCAACCAAAAAAUGUUGAUGGCAAACCACUUUUUUUUUUCUAUAGACCAAACACUACAAAAUAUAAAACUUUUUUUUCCAUCAAAAAAACUUUUUUCUACGGAAAAUUAAUUUUCACUAUUUUAUGUUGAACCAAACGGAUCCUUAGCAUAAUUUUAUUUUAUCACAAUAUAUUUUAAAAAAUUAUAUUUUAUUAUUUUAUAAUUUUACUUAUUCAUUUU
Molecule: long non-coding RNA, 448 nt
Filed under: Ananas comosus (pineapple)
Lineage: Eukaryota; Viridiplantae; Streptophyta; Magnoliopsida; Poales; Bromeliaceae
Description: long non-coding RNA (ACOM_LNC009901)
Source: RNAcentral